AACGUAGACGAAAGCUACGCUAAUACCGCAUACGAUCUAUGGAUGAAAGCGGGGGAUCGCAAGACCUCGCGCGAUUGGAGCGGCCGAUAUCAGAUUAGGUAGUUUGGGUGAGGUAAAAGGGCUCACCAAGCCGACGAUCUGUAGCUGGUCUGAGAGGACGACCAGCCACACUGGGACUGAGACACGGCCCAGACUCCUACGGGAGGCAGCAGGUGGGAAUUUUGGACAAUGGGCGCAAGCCUGAUCCAGCAAUGCCGCGUGCAGGAUGAAGGCCUUCGGGUUGUAAACUGCUUUUGUACGGAACGAAACGGUGAGCUCUAAUACAGUUUGCUAAUGACGGUACCGUAAGAAUAAGCACCGGCUAACUACGUG
RNAcentral lists this ribosomal RNA (372 nucleotides) under uncultured bacterium. RNAcentral describes it as "bacterial SSU rRNA". It matches the Rfam family "Bacterial small subunit ribosomal RNA", at positions 145 to 507 of the family's 1533-position model. The record is from RNAcentral.